Molecule: ribosomal RNA, 253 nt
Filed under: uncultured bacterium
Lineage: Bacteria
Description: partial 16S ribosomal RNA
Rfam family: Bacterial small subunit ribosomal RNA
Source: RNAcentral
UACGUAGGAUCCAAGCGUUGUCCGGAUUUACUGGGCGUAAAGGGUGCGCAGGCGGACUUGUUAGUCAGAGGUGAAAUCUCACUGCUCAACAGUGAAACUGCCUUUGAUACUGCAGGUCUUGAAUCCAGAAGAGAGUUGUGGAAUUCCGAGUGUAGCAGUGAAAUGUGUAGAUAUUCGGAAGAACACCAGCGGCGAAGGCAGCAACUUGGUCUGGUAUUGACGCUCAGGCACGAAAGCAUGGGGAUCAAACAGG